RNAcentral lists this ribosomal RNA (433 nucleotides) under Agelena limbata. Its description in RNAcentral is "partial 16S ribosomal RNA". Lineage: Eukaryota; Metazoa; Arthropoda; Arachnida; Araneae; Agelenidae. The record is from RNAcentral.
CUCUAAUAGAUUUAAUUCAUUAGUAAAAUCUGCUCAAUGAAUUUUAAAUAGCCGCAACUAUAUUGUGCUAAGGUAGCAUAAUCAUUUGUCUUUUAAUUAAAGACUAGAAUGAAAGAUCCAACAUUUAUAUUUAUAUUUUAAAUAAACUUAUUUUAACGUAUCUUAAAUAUAAAAAGAUAUUUAUUUAUAAAAAAGACGAUAAGACCCUAUUGAACUUUACUAUAGUUUAACUGGGGUAGUUAAUUAAUUAUUAUUUUAAUUUUCUUUUUUAUAAAAAAUCCUGAUAAAUCAAAAUAUUAAGUUACCAUAGGGAUAACGCGUAAUAAUUUUUUCAGCUCUUUAUUUUAAAAAUAACUUGCGACCUCGAUGUUGAAUUAAUAGCCUAAUAAAUCGAACAAUUUAAUAAGGAAGUCUGUUCGACUUUUAAUUAAUU